Molecule: ribosomal RNA, 98 nt
Filed under: Klebsiella pneumoniae
Lineage: Bacteria; Pseudomonadati; Pseudomonadota; Gammaproteobacteria; Enterobacterales; Enterobacteriaceae
Description: partial 16S ribosomal RNA
Rfam family: Bacterial small subunit ribosomal RNA
Source: RNAcentral
ACUUAAAUUGAAGAGUUUGAUCAUGGCUCAGAUUGAACGCUGGCGGCAGGCCUAACACAUGCAAGUCGAGCGGUAGCACAGAGAGCUUGCUCUCGGGU